Molecule: ribosomal RNA, 253 nt
Filed under: uncultured bacterium
Lineage: Bacteria
Description: partial 16S ribosomal RNA
Rfam family: Bacterial small subunit ribosomal RNA
Source: RNAcentral
GACAGAGGGUGCAAACGUUGCUCGGAAUCACUGGGCGUCAAGGGCGUGUAGGCGGGAGGGGGAGUCGGGCGUGAAAUCCCUGGGCUCAACCCAGGAACUGCACUCGAAACUUCUUUUCUUGAGUGCCGGAGAGGAAAGCGGAAUACCUGGUGUAGAGGUGAAAUUCGUAGAUAUCAGGUGGAACACCAGUGGCGAAGGCGGCUUUCUGGACGGUAACUGACGCUGAGACGCGAAAGCGUGGGGAGCAAACAGG